Molecule: RNA transcript, 676 nt
Organism: Momordica charantia (bitter melon)
Lineage: Eukaryota; Viridiplantae; Streptophyta; Magnoliopsida; Cucurbitales; Cucurbitaceae
Source: RefSeq, a predicted model, not a curated record
UGGGGGCAUUUGAAUACCACUCCUCAUAAGACCGUCUUCCAUAGCACGUUUUGCUAGGACAUGUGCAACCAGAUUUCCUUCUCUGAAAUUCUUCUUGCUGAUGUUGAAGAAGUCGUAUCGCCGUUAAAGAGUCUGAUUCCAAGUAUGGGAAAUGUUGAUUUCUUGGCGGAACUGUUCUCAAUCCCUCCCAAAUUGUUGACAUUUCAAGUAUUCAACUUCAAAGCAUGGUUCAGAGGUGGGUUCCAUCUAAUUGUCUAAAUCAGCAUCCCUUCUACCGACAUCUCAAUCAGACCGAUAAUAGCGCCAACGAUUACUCCCACUACUCCGGCGAUUACUGGUCGUCAUUCAGAAUCAGACCCAUUGCCCCGUGGUUUUGGGUGUGUUGAAAAAUGAUAGCUUAAUUUACACUUGUUUAAUCUAAUCAGCUUAUAUUUGCCAUUAUGGACAGUCACAGAUGAGGUGUAUUCUUCGUCAUUUGCAAUUUUAUAAGUUAAUGCCUUUAAUUGACAUGUGCUAGACAUGUGGGUAGUGAUGCCACUCACCAAAAUUAGUUAUGGCUCAUGUCUAAGCAUGUGGGGAGCUGCAAAAUUUGUUGUGAAGCGUCAAGGAGGUGCGGAGAAAUAGCAAGAUUGAUUUCUGGUUUUACUUCUGUUUUGUUGAGGAUUUCUGGGCGAAA